GGUCUGGUAGUUCAGUUGGUUAGAAUGCCGCCCUGUCACGGCGGAGGUCGCGGGUUCGAGUCCCGUCCAGACCG
This is a non-coding RNA of Gelidibacter algens, 74 nucleotides long. The record is from Rfam. NCBI's taxonomy places the organism in Bacteria, Pseudomonadati, Bacteroidota, Flavobacteriia, Flavobacteriales, Flavobacteriaceae.